GAUGAACGCUGGCGGCGUGCCUAAUACAUGCAAGUCGAGCGAACGGACGAGAAGCUUGCUUCUCUGAUGUUAGCGGCGGACGGGUGAGUAACACGUGGAUAACCUACCUAUAAGACUGGGAUAACUUCGGGAAACCGGAGCUAAUACCGGAUAAUAUUUUGAACCGCAUGGUUCAAAAGUAAAAGACGGUCUUGCUGUCACUUAUAGAUGGAUCCGCGCUGCAUUAGCUAGUUGGUAAGGUAACGGCUUACCAAGGCAACGAUGCAUAGCCGAACUGAGAGGGUGAUCGGCCACACUGGAAGUGAGACACGGUCCAGACUCCUACGGGAGGCAGCAGUAGGGAAUCUUCCGCAAUGGGCGAAAGCCUGACGGAGCAACGCCGCGUGAGUGAUGAAGGUCUUCGGAUCGUAAAACUCUGUUAUUAGGGAAGAACAUAUGUGUAAGUAACUGUGCACAUCUUGACGGUACCUAAUCAGAAAGCCACGGCUAACUACGUG
RNAcentral lists this ribosomal RNA (497 nucleotides) under uncultured bacterium. RNAcentral's name for it is "partial 16S ribosomal RNA". It matches the Rfam family "Bacterial small subunit ribosomal RNA", at positions 28 to 507 of the family's 1533-position model. The record is from RNAcentral.